UCAAGAAACUUCCACAAUGGGCGAAAGCCUGAUGGAGCGACGUCGCGUGAUGGACGAAGUGCCUCGGCACGUAAACAUCUUUUAUGUGGGAUGAAAUUAUUGACAGUACCACAUGAAUAAGGGGCUCCUAACUCUGUGCCAGCAGGAGCGGUAAUACAGAGGCCCCAAGCGUUAUCCGGAAUCACUGGGCGUAAAGGGUGUCGAGGCGGUUGUAUUAGUCGUUCGUAAAAUCUACGAGCUUAACUUGUAGGCGGCGAACGAAACGGUACGACUUGAGGUUUGGAGAGGUGCGUGGAACUCAUGGUGGAGGGGUGAAAUCCGUUGAUAUCAUGGGGAACACCAAAGGCGAAGGCAGUGCACUGGUACGUUCCUGACGCUCAAACACGAAAGCCAGGGUAGCGAAGAGGAUUAGAUACCCAUGUAGUCCCUGAGCGGGCUGGCAAGGCGCAU
Molecule: ribosomal RNA, 450 nt
Filed under: uncultured bacterium
Lineage: Bacteria
Description: bacterial SSU rRNA
Rfam family: Bacterial small subunit ribosomal RNA
Source: RNAcentral